This 253-nucleotide ribosomal RNA is filed under the name uncultured prokaryote. Its description in RNAcentral is "partial 16S ribosomal RNA". It matches the Rfam family "Bacterial small subunit ribosomal RNA", at positions 525 to 777 of the family's 1533-position model. The record is from RNAcentral.
ACAGAGGGUGCGAGCGUUAAUCGGAAUUACUGGGCGUAAAGCGCACGUAGGUGGCGACGUAAGUCGGGUGUGAAAGCCCCGGGCUCAACCUGGGAAUUGCAUUCGAGACUGCAUUGCUGGAGUACGGAAGAGGAGGGCGGAAUUCCCGGUGUAGCGGUGAAAUGCGUAGAUAUUGGGAGGAACACCAGUGGCGAAGGCGGCUUACUGGACCGGUUCUGACGCUGAGGCGCGAAAGCGUGGGGAGCAAACGGGA